This is a non-coding RNA of Dermochelys coriacea (leatherback sea turtle), 873 nucleotides long. The record is from the annotation of a RefSeq genome assembly. Lineage: Eukaryota; Metazoa; Chordata; Testudines; Dermochelyidae.
UUCCACUGCAGGUUUAUGAACAAACCUUUCCAACCACAGUCUGGCAAGAUGAUCUCACACACGCCCCUUCUCUGGCUGCUGGUUCUCUGGAUUCAGGACUCCUCUGGGCAAACUGUGAUGACUCAGUCUCCAGAAUCUCUGGCAGUGCCAGUGGGAGGGAGAGUCUCUAUCAACUGCAAAGCCAGUACCAGCAUUGGCAAGUACAUAAACUGGUACCAACAGAAACCUGGACAAGCUCCCAAACUUCUCAUCUACAGCGCUAGCACCCUGCAGUCUGGGGUCCCAGCCCGGUUCAGCGGCAGUGGAUCUGGCACUGAUUUCACAUUCACAAUCAGCAGCGUAGAAGCUGAAGAUGCUGGAGAUUAUUAUUGUCAGCAAGGCUAUGGCAUACCUCACACAGUGAUACAGACCAAUACAAAAACUUCUCUGCAGCACGCGUUGCAGUUACAGCUUCCUGCAGACACAACUGUCUAGUUUUCACAUGUUCUGUCACAUGCGACUGAAGAGAGUAACAUUUUCCAUCUGUGAACAUACAUUAAAAGGAGAACACUGAAAGACCAAAAGCGUUUGAAUAAUCACAUAGAUACUAGAAUGUACAUAGAGACCAGAGGUUCACUACAGUUUUCUCUGCUUUAUUCCUAAUCUUGAAUGCCAGUGCAUCAAACACUCUUAUUUGGGUUUCAGUACAAAUUAUUCCGAACAGCUGUUACACCUUCUAUCUUUCAGUAUAGAAUGUUCCGUCAUAUAGCGAACUGACUUAGUUCUAUUAUAGAGAGCUGAUCAGAAACAGGAAUUCUCAUAUUGUGAGAAAUUCCAAGUUGGAGGUGUGAGGGGUAAAAAGAGAGGCUUGUUCUGAAUCAGCAUGAAAACUUG